GGUCAAGUGAAGAAGCGCAUACGGUGGAUGCCUUGGCAGUCAGAGGCGAUGAAAGACGUGGUAGCCUGCGAAAAGCUUCGGGGAGUCGGCAAACAGACUUUGAUCCGGAGAUCUCUGAAUGGGGGAACCCACCUAGGAUAACCUAGGUAUCUUGUACUGAAUCCAUAGGUGCAAGAGGCGAACCAGGGGAACUGAAACAUCUAAGUACCCUGAGGAAAAGAAAUCAACCGAGAUUCCCUUAGUAGUGGCGAGCGAACGGGGAUUAGCCCUUAAGCUUCAUUGAUUUUAGCGGAACGCUCUGGAAAGUGCGGCCAUAGUGGGUGAUAGCCCCGUACGCGAAAGGAUCUUUGAAGUGAAAUCGAGUAGGACGGAGCACGAGAAACUUUGUCUGAACAU
Molecule: ribosomal RNA, 396 nt
Filed under: Pseudomonas aeruginosa
Lineage: Bacteria; Pseudomonadati; Pseudomonadota; Gammaproteobacteria; Pseudomonadales; Pseudomonadaceae
Also listed under: 1 other name
Description: partial 23S ribosomal RNA
Rfam family: Bacterial large subunit ribosomal RNA
Source: RNAcentral